This 1489-nucleotide ribosomal RNA is filed under the name uncultured bacterium. RNAcentral describes it as "bacterial SSU rRNA". It matches the Rfam family "Bacterial small subunit ribosomal RNA". The record is from RNAcentral.
UAGAGUUUGAUCCUGGCUCAGGAUGAACGCUGGCGGUGUGCCUAAGAUAUGCAAGUCGAGCGGUCCCGCAUUCUGCGGGAUAGCGGCGGACGGCUGAGUAACACGUCCGAACCUACCCCGAUCAGGAGGAUAACCUGCCGAAAGGCGUGCUAAUACUCCAUAACAAUCUGGUAACCGACGGGUUAUCAGAUUAAAGGGCGUAACUGCCCGGAUCGGGAGGGGCGGGCGGCCUAUCAGGUAGUUGGUAGGGUAAUGGCCUACCAAGCCGAUGACGGGUAGCCGGUCUUAUGAGGACGGCCGGCCAGAGGGGCACUGAGACACGGGCCCCAGCCCUACGGGGCGCAGCAAUUAGGAAUCGUUGGCAAUGGGCGAAAGCCUGACCACGCGACACCGCGUGCGGGAAGACGCUCUUCGGAGCGUAAACCGCUGUGGCAGGGGAAGAAGUCCCGCCGUAGGCGGGAUUGACGGUACCCUGCUAGAAAGUGGCCGCCAACUGCGUGCCAGCAGCGGCGGUAAUACGUGGGCCACAAGCGUUAUCCGGUGUUACUGGGCGUAAAGCGUGUGUAGGCGGUCUGUUAGGUCAGUCCUCAAAUCCCACUGCUCAACAGUGGAAAGGGGAUUGAUACCGGCAGACUAGAGCUUCCUUAAAGGAAACUGGAAUUGGUGGAGGAGCGGUGAAAUGCGUUGAUACCACCAAGAACACCGAAGGCGAAGGCAAGUUUCUACAAGGAAGCUGACGCUGAGACACGAAAGCUAGGGGAGCGAACCGGAUUAGAGACCCGGGUAGUCCUAGCCGUAAACGAUGCUCGCUAGCUAUCCUCUUUUGGAUUUUUUCCAAAGGGGAUGGCGAAGCUAACGCGUUAAGCGAGCCGCCUGGGGAGUACGGCCGCAAGGCUGAAACUCAAAGGAAUUGGCGGGGAGACACACAACUAGUGGAGCAUGUGGUUCAAUUCGAGACGAACCGAAGAACCUCACCAGGGCUUGACAUGAUAGGGUGUUAGGGCCCCGAAAGGGGACACCGAUCCUUGCCUCUGGCAGGGAACCUAUCACAGCUGCUGCAUGGCUGUCGUCAGUUCGUUCCGUGAGGAGUGCCCUUAAGUGGGACAACGAACGCAACCCUCGUCCUCUGUUAAAUCUGUCAGAGGAGACUGCCCCGCAAUUUGCGGGGAGGAAGGAGGGGAUGACGUCAAGUCAGCACGGCGCUUAUGCCCUGGGCUACACACAUGCUACAAUGAGCCGGACAAAGGGUUGCCAACCCGCAAGGGGGAGCCAAUCCCAAAAACCGGCUCUCAGUGGGGAUUGAGGUCUGAAACCCGACCUCAUGAACGCGGAAUUAGUAGUAAUCGCGGAUCAGCCAUGCCGCGGUGAAUACGUUCUUGUCUCUUGCACACACUGCCCGUCAAGUCAACAAAGUCGGUUUUAUCCGAAUCCCGACUUAGUCGGGAGAGGAUAAGACCGGCGAUGGGGGCUAAGUCGUAACAAGGUAACC